Molecule: ribosomal RNA, 207 nt
Filed under: uncultured bacterium
Lineage: Bacteria
Description: partial 16S ribosomal RNA
Rfam family: Bacterial small subunit ribosomal RNA
Source: RNAcentral
CACGCAGGCGGUCUGUGAAGUUUGGAGUGACAGUUGGUGGCUUAACUGCCAAAGUGCUUUGAAAACUGACAGACUUGAGGGCUUCAGAGGGACACGGAAUUCCGGGUGGAGUGGUGAAAUGCGUAGAGAUCCGGAGGAACACCAAAGGCGAAGGCAGUGUCCUGGGGAGUACCUGACGCUCAGGUGCGAAAGCCAGGGGAGCGAACG